This 66-nucleotide transfer RNA is filed under the name Rivulus sp. 'Rio Supamo'. Its description in RNAcentral is "tRNA-Cys". It matches the Rfam family "tRNA". From Rfam's summary of the family: Transfer RNA (tRNA) molecules are approximately 80 nucleotides in length. Their secondary structure includes four short double-helical elements and three loops (D, anti-codon, and T loops). Further hydrogen bonds mediate the characteristic L-shaped molecular structure. tRNAs have two regions of fundamental functional importance: the anti-codon, which is responsible for specific mRNA codon recognition, and the 3' end, to which the tRNAs corresponding amino acid is attached (by aminoacyl-tRNA synthetases). tRNAs cope with the degeneracy of the genetic code in two manners: having more than one tRNA (with a specific anti-codon) for a particular amino acid; and 'wobble' base-pairing, i.e. permitting non-standard base-pairing at the 3rd anti-codon position. The record is from RNAcentral. Lineage: Eukaryota; Metazoa; Chordata; Actinopteri; Cyprinodontiformes; Rivulidae.
AGCUUCGAAGUAUUAAUACGUUAGAUUGCAAAUCUAGAAAUGCAGGUUAGUUGCCGGCCGGGGCUU